This 597-nucleotide small RNA is filed under the name Pongo abelii (Sumatran orangutan). Its description in RNAcentral is "retained intron". Lineage: Eukaryota; Metazoa; Chordata; Mammalia; Primates; Hominidae. The record is from RNAcentral.
GCGAUCUCUGCGGGGCAAGAUGGCGGCGCCCAGACAGGCCUGGAGCACGGAUGAAUAAGAGGGAAUCCCCACACGGAGACACUGCUGGAGAGAGUCGUAUUGGGGAGGCAGCUGGAGCAGCAAGAUGCUGUCGAGACCGAAGCCAGGGGAGUCCGAGGUGGACCUGCUGCGCUUCCAGAGUCAGUUUCUCGCAGCUGGUGCAGCCCCAGCAGUGCAGUUGGUGAAGAAAGGAAAUAGGGGCGGUGGUGAUGCCAACUCAGACCGGCCUCCGCUCCAGGACCAUCGGGAUGUGGUGAUGUUGGACAGUGAGUUCCCGUGGAUGUGAGGCUGAGAAGUAGAGAGGGUACAGCCUCGGGCCCCUCCCUCUUCCUGUUGUGGUUGGAUUCAGACACAUCAUUAUUAUUUCAGACACUGCAUAGCCUGUGUUUCUGCAGCCCCAUUUUACAGAGGAAGAAAAUGAGGCUCAAAGAGGUUAAAUAUCUUACCCAAGAUGACACAGCUUGAGCCAGGGCCCCAUGGCAGCUGUCUUUCUUCCCUAGCCUGCAGUGUCUUCCUAGGAAGGUGCGCAUAUACUCACGUUUGGGAUCUUUUCUUUCU